This 403-nucleotide ribosomal RNA is filed under the name uncultured Acetobacterium sp. Its description in RNAcentral is "bacterial SSU rRNA". It matches the Rfam family "Bacterial small subunit ribosomal RNA", at positions 356 to 774 of the family's 1533-position model. Lineage: Bacteria; Bacillati; Bacillota; Clostridia; Eubacteriales; Eubacteriaceae. The record is from RNAcentral.
AGGGAAUCUUCCACAAUGGACGAAAGUCUGAUGGAGCAACGCCGCGUGAGUGAAGAAGGUUUUCGGAUCGUAAAGCUCUGUUAUUGGGGAAGAAAAAAAGACGGUACCCAAGAAGAAAGUCCCGGCUAACUACGUGCCAGCAGCCGCGGUAAUACGUAGGGGACAAGCGUUGUCCGGAUUUACUGGGCGUAAAGGGCACGCAGGCGGUUUUUUAAGUCAGAUGUGAAAGGUACCGGCUCAACCGGUGACAUGCAUUUGAAACUGAAAGACUUGAGUAUUGGAGAGGCAAGUGGAAUUCCUAGUGUAGCGGUGAAAUGCGUAGAUAUUAGGAGGAACACCAGUAGCGAAGGCGGCUUUCUGGACUGUAACUGACACUGAGGCACGAAAGCGUGGGGAGCAAACA